Molecule: ribosomal RNA, 442 nt
Filed under: uncultured bacterium
Lineage: Bacteria
Description: partial 16S ribosomal RNA
Rfam family: Bacterial small subunit ribosomal RNA
Source: RNAcentral
CCUACGGGUGGCAGCAGUAGGGAAUCUUUCACAAUGGGCGAAAGCCUGAUGGAGCAACGCCGCGUGCAGGAUGAAGGCCUUCGGGUUGUAAACUGCUUUUAUAAGCGAGAAAUAUGAUGGUAACUUAUGAAUAAGGAUCGGCUAACUACGUGCCAGCAGCCGCGGUCAUACGUAGGACCCAAGCAUUAUCCGGAGUGACUGGGUGUAAAGAGUUGCGUAGGUGGAAUAAUAAGUAGCUAGUGAAAUCUGGUGGCUCAACCAUUCAGACUAUUAGCUAAACUGUUAAGCUCGAGACCGUUAGGGGUAACUGGAAUUUCUAGUGUAGGAGUGAAAUCCGUAGAUAUUAGAAGGAACACCAAUAGCGUAGGCAGGUUGCUGGGACGGUUCUGACACUAAGGCACGAAAGCGUAGGGAGCAAACGGGAUUAGAUACCCCUGUAGUC